GAUGAACGCUGGCGGCGUGCUUAACACAUGCAAGUCGAACGGGAUCGGCUGGAGCUUGCUCCGGCCGUGAGAGUGGCGAACGGGUGAGUAAUGCGUGACCGACCUGCCCCAUACACCGGAAUAGCUCCUGGAAACGGGUGGUAAUGCCGGAUGUUCCAGUUGACCGCAUGGUCCUCUGGGAAAGCUUUUGCGGUAUGGGAUGGGGUCGCGUCCUAUCAGCUUGAUGGCGGGGUAACGGCCCACCAUGGCUUCGACGGGUAGCCGGCCUGAGAGGGCGACCGGCCACAUUGGGACUGAGAUACGGCCCAGACUCCUACGGGAGGCAGCAGUGGGGAAUAUUGCACAAUGGGCGCAAGCCUGAUGCAGCGACGCCGCGUGCGGGAUGACGGCCUUCGGGUUGUAAACCGCUUUUGACUGGGAGCAAGCCCUUCGGGGUGAGUGUACCUUUCGAAUAAGCACCGG
Molecule: ribosomal RNA, 462 nt
Filed under: uncultured bacterium
Lineage: Bacteria
Description: bacterial SSU rRNA
Rfam family: Bacterial small subunit ribosomal RNA
Source: RNAcentral